UACGGCCAUAUCACGUUGAAACAUCGUUUCUCGUACGAUCACUGAAGUUAAGCAACGACAAGCUUGGUCAAUACUUAGACGGGUGACUGCUUGGAAAUACCAGGUUCUGUA
Non-coding RNA from Acanthosepion pharaonis, 111 nucleotides. The record is from the annotation of a GenBank genome assembly. Lineage: Eukaryota; Metazoa; Mollusca; Cephalopoda; Sepiida; Sepiidae.